Molecule: ribosomal RNA, 489 nt
Filed under: Triticum aestivum (bread wheat)
Lineage: Eukaryota; Viridiplantae; Streptophyta; Magnoliopsida; Poales; Poaceae
Description: partial small subunit ribosomal RNA
Source: RNAcentral
AUGAAUAAUAUAUGUACAGAAAUGAAUGACAGUCCUGGAAAAGGCAAUGAAAUAAACCUAAAACAACCUGCAGUGCUUGUACUUUCUGCCAUGGCUGAGACAGGCCUGGUUAGUCUGCCUUCACUGUUCACAGCUGUGUUGCUGCAGGCAAACAACGGAUUGUCAUCUGACCAGGCUUCAGCGAUUCUUCCAUCAAAUUUUGAAGAAGUAGCCACUGGUGUAUUGAAAGUUUUGAACAAUGUGGCAUGUUUGGAUAUCACUCUUCUGCAGUGUAUGCUGGCUAGAUCAGAUCUGAAGAUGGAAUUCUUUCAUUUGCUCAGUUCUCUUCUGAAUCAUUGCAUGCAUAAAUGGAGAGUACCAAAUGAUCAGGUGCUUUUGGACUGCUGCCAAAGGAUGUCGAGAGCAUUGUUACCGCGAAAUGCAAAGAUAAACUGUUGGAUCUCUACAACAAGAGAAGCAUCUCAGAACUGGUUGAGGUGGUCUGUGUAA